RNAcentral lists this ribosomal RNA (756 nucleotides) under Acinetobacter baumannii. Its description in RNAcentral is "bacterial SSU rRNA". It matches the Rfam family "Bacterial small subunit ribosomal RNA", at positions 93 to 841 of the family's 1533-position model. Lineage: Bacteria; Pseudomonadati; Pseudomonadota; Gammaproteobacteria; Moraxellales; Moraxellaceae. The record is from RNAcentral.
UAUCGGCGGACGGGUGAGUAAGGCUUAGGAAUCUGCCUAUUAGUGGGGGACAACAUCUCGAAGGGGAUGCUAAUACCGCAAACGUCCUACGGCAGAAAGCAGGGGAUCUUCGGACCUUGCCCUAAUAAAUGAGCCUAAGUCGGAUUAGCUAUUUGGUGGGGUAAAGGCCUACCCAGGCGACGAUCUGUAUCGGGUCUGAGAGGAUGAUCCGCCACACUGGGACUGAAACACGGCCCAGACUCCUACGGGAGGCAGCAGUGGGGAAUAUUGAACAAGGGGGGAAACCCUGAUCCAGCCAUGCCCCGUGUGUGAAUAAGGCCUUAUGGUUGUAAAGCACUUUAACCGAGGAGGAGGCUACUUUAGUUAAUACCUAUAGAUAUUGGACGUUACUCGCAAAAUAAGCACCGGCUAACUCUGUGCCACCACCCGCGGUAAUACAAAGGGUGCGAGCGUUAAUCGAAUUUACUGGGCGUAAAGCGUGCGUAGGCGGCUUAUUAAUUCGGAUGUGAAAUCCCCCAGCUUACCUUGGGAAUUGCAUUCGAUACUGGUGAGCUAGAGUAUGGCAGAGGAUGGUAGAAUUCCAGGUGUAUCGGUGAAAUGCGUACAGAUCUGGAGGAAUACCGAUGGCGAACGCAGCCAUCUGCCCUAAUACUGACUCUGACGUACGAAAGCAUGCGUAGCAAACAGGAUUAUAUACCCUGGUAGUCAAUGCCCGUAAACAAUGUCUACUAACCUGUUGGGGCCUGUUGAGGCUUU